GAUGAAGAACGCAGCGAAAUGCGAUAAGUAAUGUGAAUUGCAGAAUUCAGUGAAUCAUCGAAUCUUUGAACGCACAUUGCGCCCGCCAGUAUUCUGGCGAGCAUGCCUGUUCGAGCGUCAUUUCAACCAUCAAGCCCCAGGCUUGUGUUGGAGCCCUGCGGCUGCCGCAGUCUCCCAAAACCAGUGGCGGGCUCGCUAUCACACCGAGUGCAGUAGUUUACUCUUCGCUCAGGGCGUGUGGCGGGUGCUAGCCGUGAAACCCCCAACUUCUCAAGGUUGACCUCGGAUCAGGUAGGAAUACCCGCUGAACUUAAGCAUAUCAAUAAGCGGAGGA
RNAcentral lists this unclassified non-coding RNA (334 nucleotides) under soil metagenome. Its description in RNAcentral is "partial contains 5.8S ribosomal RNA, internal transcribed spacer 2, and large subunit ribosomal RNA". The stretch from base 1 to 120 matches the Rfam family "5.8S ribosomal RNA", at positions 35 to 154 of the family's 154-position model. The record is from RNAcentral.